AGCGUAGGCGGUGCGGUAAGUCGGGUGUGAAACCUCCAGGCUCAACUUGGAGCUGGCAUCCGAAACUGCCGUGCUAGAGUGUGGGAGAGGAGAGUGGAAUUCCCGGUGUAGCGGUGAAAUGCGUAGAUAUCGGGAGGAACAUCGGUGGCGAAGGCGGCUCUCUGGACCAUAACUGACGCUGAGGCUCGAAAGCUAGGGGAGCAAACAGGAUUAGAUACCCUGGUAGUCCUAGCUGUAAACGAUGAACACUUGGUAUAGCGGGUAUCGAAUCCCGCUGUGCCGGAGCUAACGCAUUAAGUGUUCCGCCUGGGGAGUACGGUCGCAAGGCUGAA
Molecule: ribosomal RNA, 332 nt
Filed under: uncultured bacterium
Lineage: Bacteria
Description: bacterial SSU rRNA
Rfam family: Bacterial small subunit ribosomal RNA
Source: RNAcentral